This 1414-nucleotide ribosomal RNA is filed under the name uncultured bacterium. RNAcentral's name for it is "16S ribosomal RNA". It matches the Rfam family "Bacterial small subunit ribosomal RNA". The record is from RNAcentral.
AGGGUUUGAUUAUGGCUCAGAACGAACGCUGGCGGCGUGGAUAAGACAUGCAAGUCGAACGGGACACCAUGAGUAGCAAUACCAGUGGUGUCUAGUGGCGAACGGGUGCGUAACACGUGGAUACAUUCCGGGAAGCGGGGGAUAGCCCAGGGAAACUUGGAUUAAUACCGCAUGUGGUCGAAAGACUAAAGGCAGGGACCGCAAGCCUGCACUUCCCGAUUGGUCCGCGGCCUAUCAGCUAGUUGGCGGGGUAAAAGCCCACCAAGGCUACGACGGGUAGCUGGUCUUAGAGGACGACCAGCCACACUGGAACUGAGACACGGUCCAGACACCUACGGGUGGCAGCAGUCGAGAAUCUUUCACAAUGGGGGCAACCCUGAUGGAGCGACGCCGCGUGGAGGAUGAAGAUCUUCGGAUUGUAAACUCCUGUCAUGUGUGAACAAGGUUGUCGUGUUAAUAGCAUGGCAAAUUGAUGGUAACACAAGAGGAAGAGACGGCUAACUCUGUGCCAGCAGCCGCGGUAAUACAGAGGUCUCAAGCGUUGUUCGGAAUCACUGGGCGUAAAGGGUGCGUAGGUGGCGUGGAAAGUCAGAUGUGAAAGCCCGGGGCUCAACCUCGGAAUUGCAUCCGAUACUACCAUGCUAGAGUACUGAAGAGGUGACUAGAAUUCUCGGUGUAGCAGUGAAAUGCGUAGAUAUCGAGAGGAAUACCAACGGCGAAGGCAGGUCACUGGGCAGUUACUGACACUGAGGCACGAAGGCCAGGGGAGCAAACGGGAUUAGAUACCCCGGUAGUCCUGGCAGUAAACGGUGCAUAUUUGGUGUGGGCGCAAUCGACCGCGUCCGCGCCGGAGCUAACGCGUUAAAUAUGCCGCCUGGGAAGUACGGUCGCAAGAUUAAAACUCAAAGAAAUUGACGGGGACCCGCACAAGCGGUGGAGUAUGUGGCUUAAUUCGAUGCAACGCGAAGAACCUUACCUGGUCUUGACAUGCAUUGUGUCUCCGGUGAAAGCCGGAUAGGGUAGCAACUGCCUCGAUCAACGAGGAGGAAGGUGGGGAUGACGUCAAGUCCGUAUGGCCCUUACGACCAGGGCUGCACACGUACUACAAUGCCCAGUACAAUAUGAACCGAGACCGCGAGGUGGAGGAAAUCAUAUAAAACUGGGCUCAGUUCAGAUUGGAGUCUGCAACUCGACUCCAUGAAGUCGGAAUCGCUAGUAAUGGUACAUCAGCUACGGUACCGUGAAUACGUUCCCGGGUCUUGUACGCACCGCCCGUCACAUCAUGGAAGCUGGUUUCGCCCGAAGUGCAUGCGCCAACCGCAAGGAGGCAGUGCCCUAAGGCAAGACUGGUGACUGGGAUGAAGUCGUAACAAGGUAGCCGUAGGGGAACCUGCGGCUGGAUCACCUCCUUUCU